AUUCCUACGGGAGGCAGCAGUGGGGAAUAUUGCACAAUGGGGGAAACCCUGAUGCAGCAACGCCGCGUGAGUGAAGAAGUAUUUCGGUAUGUAAAGCUCUAUCAGCAGGGAAGAAGAAAGACGGUACCUGACUAAGAAGCCCCGGCUAACUACGUGCCAGCAGCCGCGGUAAUACGUAGGGGGCAAGCGUUAUCCGGAUUUACUGGGUGUAAAGGGAGCGUAGACGGCUGUGCAAGUCUGAAGUGAAAUGCCGGGGCCCAACCCCCGGACUGCUCUGGAAACUGUAAAGCUGGAGUGCAGGAGAG
This 305-nucleotide ribosomal RNA is filed under the name uncultured bacterium. RNAcentral's name for it is "bacterial SSU rRNA". It matches the Rfam family "Bacterial small subunit ribosomal RNA", at positions 335 to 656 of the family's 1533-position model. The record is from RNAcentral.